Molecule: long non-coding RNA, 1011 nt
Organism: Piliocolobus tephrosceles (Ugandan red Colobus)
Lineage: Eukaryota; Metazoa; Chordata; Mammalia; Primates; Cercopithecidae
Exons: 2
Source: RefSeq, a predicted model, not a curated record
GAGUCGUUUGCUGUAGGGCCUGCAGGAGGAUCGUCCCCACCACGACUCUGCAUGACACAGGGGAAGGGAGGACACCCGGGGAACUGAAUCUUGAAACGCACGAAGGGGACACCGUCCUGCCAUCUUUUCAAGGCCAUUUCCCACAGAGAGCCUGCAAAACUCAACAAGGACGGUCCGCUGAUGUGAGCAUCUUGUGAUCUCUCCCCCAGCGCAGCCUGCCUGGCAGCUUCCUGUGCUCCCAGCACGAAGUGGAAGAUGACCUUCAGCCAGAGGAGGGAGCGCAGCGCGGAUUAGAAGGACAUGGCGCGGGGACUGGCCUGGUUGUUGGGGCGGGGACAGAAAUCCAUUUCCCUCAUUUUCCUCCACUCCAGCGUGGGCCACUUCCUGAGUCUCCGCACACACCCCUGUCUGAGGCGCUCACUGACCUGCUCCAAGGUGAGGGAUUCCCUGUAUUUGGGGCAGAACAGACAUUCCCACCCCGCAAGGCUGCAGUGCGGGACAGACACAUGGCCUGGCCCCGAGAUGCUGCAGCAUGUUUGUCCUGGAUUUUAACACGUUUUCGUCCCCGGUGGUCCCAGCGGCUGCUGCCAGGGACUAAAACACCUUUGUCAGGUUUUCGAAAGUCCCAGGGAAGGGAGGGGAGAGCCCAAGGUGAGCGCACUACUUUACCCGAGGCCCUAUUUCUGCACGAGAAACUUUUCUCAGCCUGAUCGCAUCCCUGCUUCUAGGAAGGGCCUGGUUCAGGCUUUCAGCCUGAAGCCCGAGAGCACAAAUAAGCCCUCCCCUGAGUUCAAAAAUAAAAUCCUGGUACCGUAUGAUGAUCAUGAUUAUUGUUACCAUUCUUACCAGCACUGCAAUCAUUUGUGCUCUGGCCCUUUCAUCCCAGAAUUUCAAAGCAGAAUGCUUUAUAAGGAGAUGGCUAUUCAUUUGUUCAGUGAGAGGCACCCUUUGAAAAUGGAGCUUUCAGACUCUUGAUGAAAAAAAAAAAAAAAGAAAAAACCCUCUGAUUUC